GUCGAACGGUGAACACGGAGCUUGCUCUGUGGGAUCAGUGGCGAACGGGUGAGUAACACGUGAGCAACCUGCCCCUGACUCUGGGAUAAGCGCUGGAAACGGCGUCUAAUACUGGAUAUGUGACGUGAUCGCAUGGUCUGCGUCUGGAAAGAAUUUCGGUUGGGGAUGGGCUCGCGGCCUAUCAGCUUGUUGGUGAGGUAAUGGCUCACCAAGGCGUCGACGGGUAGCCGGCCUGAGAGGGUGACCGGCCACACUGGGACUGAGACACGGCCCAGACUCCUACGGGAGGCAGCAGUGGGGAAUAUUGCACAAUGGGCGCAAGCCUGAUGCAGCAACGCCGCGUGAGGGAUGACGGCCUUCGGGUUGUAAACCUCUUUUAGCAGGGAAGAAGCGAAAGUGACGGUACCUGCAGAAAAAGCGCCGGCUAACUACGUGCCAGCAGCCGCGGUAAUACGUAGGGCGCAAGCGUUAUCCGGAAUUAUUGGGCGUAAAGAGCUCGUAGGCGGUUUGUCGCGUCUGCUGUGAAAUCCGGAGGCUCAACCUCCGGCCUGCAGUGGGUACGGGCAGACUAGAGUGCGGUAGGGGAGAUUGGAAUUCCUGGUGUAGCGGUGGAAUGCGCAGAUAUCAGGAGGAACACCGAUGGCGAAGGCAGAUCUCUGGGCCGUAACUGA
This 671-nucleotide ribosomal RNA is filed under the name Microbacterium oxydans. RNAcentral describes it as "bacterial SSU rRNA". It matches the Rfam family "Bacterial small subunit ribosomal RNA", at positions 61 to 743 of the family's 1533-position model. The record is from RNAcentral. Lineage: Bacteria; Bacillati; Actinomycetota; Actinomycetes; Micrococcales; Microbacteriaceae.